This is a long non-coding RNA of Myiozetetes cayanensis, 918 nucleotides long. RefSeq lists it as uncharacterized. The transcript has 5 exons. Lineage: Eukaryota; Metazoa; Chordata; Aves; Passeriformes; Tyrannidae. The record is from RefSeq and is a predicted model, not a curated record.
GUAUGUUUUGAAAAUUUCGUACCUGCACGUUCUUCCCUCCUGCCCCUCCCUGCCCCCUUCCUCCCCUGUGUAUAGUAACACGGUGACGUGCUUUAACUAUUUGAAAUAUUUUGUCUAUUAACUGAUUCUAUUUCAAAACUGUGUUCCAGACAUAAGGAGUGAAACUGGUUCCCAGUUUCUCCAGCAGUAUGCCUAUUUCCUACAGUGACUUUGCAGCACAUGUGCACACUUCUAGCAAGUGCUUGCAUGUUUGAGUUCUGUCCUCAUUGGGUUCAGUGCAUCACAAUGAAAGAUCAUCAGCCACAAAGGAUUAAACUAAGAUUGUCCCGUACACUUCUGCUUUAGUAGCUGAAGAAGCAAGAAAUAUUAUGAUGGAAGAAAUAGUUUGGUAAAAGUAACCAACUGCGUGUAAAAUACACUUGCAAGGCAAGACACAUUGCAAUUAAAACUGUGUAUUAAACAAACUAUAGUAAAAUCUGUGUGCUCCACACAUGGCCCAUUUCUGGAAAAUAAAAGAAGAAUACCCUCUUUAGCCUGAUCCAGUGUUAAAUGACGAGUGAACAGUCACAUUUUGAUUAGUACAAAAGAGAGUUCAAGGAGUAAAAACAGAAGAUGACUUUCCUGUUAUCCUGAAGGAAAUUAGUUUCUACGUUCUCAUUCAGCUUUAGAUAGAAGACUACUCUGAAUAAAGAUGUAAAGAUGCAUGCUUGUGAUAAUGGAGAAACUGGAUAGACAGAAAAAGCUGGCAGCAUCUUCCUCAGUUCACAUGGAACAUACUGGAACAAAGAUAUCCAAGAACACUGAAGACUAACAGGCAAGGAUAUGGGCUUCCUGAAGGGACUUAUGCCUUUGCUGAUGCUCCUCUUCUAAUUCCUGGAUCUCCUGAGUCAGCCUCUGUCGCUCCUGACUGAACUGGGC